Molecule: ribosomal RNA, 407 nt
Filed under: uncultured Leifsonia sp.
Lineage: Bacteria; Bacillati; Actinomycetota; Actinomycetes; Micrococcales; Microbacteriaceae
Description: bacterial SSU rRNA
Rfam family: Bacterial small subunit ribosomal RNA
Source: RNAcentral
UGGGGAAUAUUGCACAAUGGGCGAAAGCCUGAUGCAGCAACGCCGCGUGAGGGACGACGGCCUUCGGGUUGUAAACCUCUUUUAGUAGGGAAGAAGCGAAAGUGACGGUACCUGCAGAAAAAGCACCGGCUAACUACGUGCCAGCAGCCGCGGUAAUACGUAGGGUGCGAGCGUUGUCCGGAAUUAUUGGGCGUAAAGAGCUCGUAGGCGGUCUGUCGCGUCUGCUGUGAAAUCCCGAGGCUCAACCUCGGGCCUGCAGUGGGUACGGGCAGACUAGAGUGCGGUAGGGGAGAUUGGAAUUCCUGGUGUAGCGGUGGAAUGCGCAGAUAUCAGGAGGAACACCGAUGGCGAAGGCAGAUCUCUGGGCCGUAACUGACGCUGAGGAGCGAAAGCGUGGGGAGCGAACA